Molecule: long non-coding RNA, 2397 nt
Organism: Monodelphis domestica (gray short-tailed opossum)
Lineage: Eukaryota; Metazoa; Chordata; Mammalia; Didelphimorphia; Didelphidae
Source: Ensembl
AUGAAGCCCUUCCUUCUUGCUCCCCCAGAGUUCUUCCUUGAUUUGUCAACCAGGCAUGUGUUCCCCUCGCACCCCUCUGACUGCUCCUUCUCUGUCUCCUUUGUGUGUUCCACAUCAUUGUUUGAUUCCCUAACAGCGGGUAUCCCCAAGACUCUUUUCCCCUCUCCUCUCUCCCUUGAUCUCACCCUUUCUCUUUCAAGGGUCCAAUUAUCAUCUCUCUGGUCUCUCCCCCAGCCAAGGACUCCCAUGACCAACUCUUUGUUGAGCAUCAUUGAAACUGGAUGUCCAGCUCAUUGGACACAUGAGGAAAUGGAGGCCCCUGAGGGAGAGAGGGACAGGCCUGAGAUGCCACAGCCACAAAGCAGCCCCGCAGGAUGACCACCAUGUUCUCUGGUCAGUGGGCUUUAGCCGAGGGGCAGCGCUCCUUCCUGAUGGUUUUCAGUCCCGUCUGACUCCUUGUGACUCCAUUUGGGAGUUUUCUUCGCUCCUGAACUGAAGUGGGUUGUCGCUUCCUUCUCCAGUUCAUUUUAUGGAUGAGAUGAAGCAGCCUGUCCAGCCUCCACGCUCACACGACUAGUACGUGUCCGAGGUUGGAUCUGAACUCGGGUCUUUCACCCUAUCGGCGGCACCACCCAGCACAGCGUCAGGGUUUAAUCAGUGCUCGAUGACCGAUGGAUCAGGGAGGGAAUACGGUGAAGAAGGAAGAGGACAAGAUCCAAGUCAGAGGACCCGGGUUCAAAUUCCCUCUCUGAUGCCGGCCUGCCGGGUGAGCUUUGGAUCUGCCCAGGCCUCGCUCUCUGUGGAGAUCAAAUGAGAGGCUUUGCCAGAAACCUGAGAGCCUCUCUGAGGGGCCGGAAAGUCCUGGAGAAGCAUCAGGGGCCGAGCCAGGAAUAAUGUGCAGCUUUGGGGGGGUGCUGACCCCCAGGCUCAGGCAGGGGCCACCAAGGGGGUCCCAGCAGCCGUUCCCGCCAGGCCUCCAGGGCUCUCCGGGCAGAGGAGAAGCCGUCUCCAGGAGCCCCGGGACCUCUGGCUAUUGGGGGUACAUUUGUGGGCCUGUAUCCGUGUGUGUGUGUCCUGUGAGUCUGUGGGCUGUGCGUCCAUACGAGUUCAUGUGAAUCUGUAGGUUUGUGUGUCUAUCCAGGCAGACUCACAAGUGGCUGUGUGUCUGUGUUCGUGUAAACUCACAUGUGUCUGUGUUUGUGUAAACUCAUGUGUGUCUAUGUAAACUCACAUGUGUCUGUGUUUGUGUAAACUCGUGUGUGUCUGUGUAAACUCACAUGUGUCUGUCCAUAUAAACUCAUGUGUAUCUCUGUAAACUCACAUGUGUCUGUGUCUGUGUAAACUCACAUGUGUCUGUGUAAACUCACAUGUGUCUGUGUCUGUGUAAACUCACAUGUGUCUGUGUCCGUGUAAACUCAAGUGUGUCUGUGUAAACUCACAUGUGUGUGUUUGUGUCCAUGUAAACUCAUAUGUGUCUGUUUGUGUAAACUCACACGUCUGUAUCCAUGUAAACUCGUGUGCACCUGCCUAUGUUUAUGUAAACAUAUGUGUGUCUGUGUUCAUGUAGACACACAUGUCUGUGUCCAUGUAAACUCACAUGUGUCUGUGUCUGUGUAAACUCGCGUGUGUCUGUGUAAAUGCACAUGUGUCUGUGUCCGUGUAAACUCACAUGUGUCUGUGUUUGUGUCCAUGUAAACUCACAUGGGUCUGUGUUUGUGUAAACUCACACGUGUCUGUGUUUGUGUCCGUGUAAACUCACAUGUGUCUUGUUUGUGUAAACUCACAUGUCUGUGUCCGUGUAGACUCGCGUGCACCUGCCUAUGUUUAUGUAAACGUACGUGUGUCUGUGUUCAUGUAGACGCACGUGUGUCUGCGCCUCCCCUCCCGAGCAGGCUGGAUCAGGCUGGCUUCUCGCAGCUGGGAGGCAGGUCAGGUUUCCUGUGGACAAAGCCUGGCGGAGGAGGGGGGGCCUCUCGGGGUGGCUCCCUGGCUGGGCUCUCAGCCCAGAUCCCAGGCCAGGCAGGGGGUGAACAGGAGGCGGUGGCCCAGCCCUAACCCUCCUCAGUCAGCCCCAAGCCUUGGGCUUCCCGGCCAGGAAGUUCGGCCCGUGGGCCUCCCCGUGGCCCAGUUGAAUUUCUUUUGUUUUGGACACCCUCCUUCCACCUUAGAGUCAAGAAUUCUUAUUUCUAAUAGAGUCAUAAUUCUAAACAUGGGUUCCAAGGCAGAAGAGCGGCCAGGGCUGGGCAACGGGGGUGAAGUGACCCACCCAGGGUCACCCCCUGGACGUGUCUGGGGUAGAUUUGAACCCAGGACCUCCCCUCUAGGCCUGGCUCUCCAUCCACCAAGUUAAUUUCUGCUCCACAGUUAGGUACUUAAUAAAUGCUUGAUGAUGAACCU